GAUGAACGCUGGCGGCGUGCCUAAUACAUGCCAGUCGAGCGAACGGACGAGAAGCUUGCUUUUCUGAUGUUAGCGGCGGACGGGUGAGUAACACGUGGAUAACCUACCUAUAAGACUGGGAUAACUUCGGGAAACCGGAGCUAAUACCGGAUAAUAUUUUGAACCGCAUGGUUCAAAAGUGAAAGACGGUCUUGCUGUCACUUAUAGAUGGAUCCGCGCUGCAUUAGCUAGUUGGUAAGGUAACGGCUUACCAAGGCAACGAUGCAUAGCCGACCUGAGAUGGUGAUCGGCCACACUGGAACUGAGACACGGUCCAGACUCCUACGGGAGGCAGCAGUAGGGAAUCUUCCGCAAUGGGCGAAAGCCUGACGGAGCAACGCCGCGUGAGUGAUGAAGGUCUUCGGAUCGUAAAACUCUGUUAUUAGGGAAGAACAUAUGUGUAAGUAACUGUGCACAUCUUGACGGUACCUAAUCAGAAAGCCACGGCUAACUACGUG
RNAcentral lists this ribosomal RNA (497 nucleotides) under uncultured bacterium. Its description in RNAcentral is "partial 16S ribosomal RNA". It matches the Rfam family "Bacterial small subunit ribosomal RNA", at positions 28 to 507 of the family's 1533-position model. The record is from RNAcentral.